RNAcentral lists this transfer RNA (69 nucleotides) under Psammotermes sp. RNAcentral's name for it is "tRNA-Asn". The record is from RNAcentral. Lineage: Eukaryota; Metazoa; Arthropoda; Insecta; Blattodea; Rhinotermitidae.
UUAACUGAAACCAAAGAAGAGGUAUAUCAUUGUUAAUGAUACAAAUGAAUCUAAAUUAUUCCAGUUAAA